Pleuronectes platessa (European plaice) is the source of this 365-nucleotide non-coding RNA. RefSeq annotates it as small Cajal body-specific RNA 2. The transcript has a single exon. The record is from RefSeq and is a predicted model, not a curated record. Lineage: Eukaryota; Metazoa; Chordata; Actinopteri; Pleuronectiformes; Pleuronectidae.
GUCUUCCAUAGAAUGAAUGGCGUGUGUUUGUGUCGUGUGUGAAAGAGAAAGCGCGUGUGUUGACUGCUUGUGUGAGUGAGUUUGUCGUUUGCGUGUGUGAGAGAGUGUGUAUUUGUUCUAAAAAUCUACACAGUGAUCUUAUUUGAUCUGGUCGGGCUUGGCUCGACUCUGACCGGAAAUGAUAGGAAAGACGCUCUCGAGCCUUCGAGGCGAUGAGCAGCUGCAUCACGAAAAGCCAGAGCCUACCACUGCUUCUUGUUGUGGUUUGAGAUGAUGAUUUGAUCAGAUAUACUAGUUCACUGCGGUGUUGAGUUCAUCUCAAACCUCCGCUUUGGACAAUGAGUAAAGAGGCGAUUCUGAUCUAA